CUAAUAUACCGGUUCUCGUUAGAUCACCGAAGUCAAGCAUCAUUGGGCGCGGUCAGUACUUGGGUGAGUGGCCACCUGGGAACACCGCGUGCCGUU
This 96-nucleotide ribosomal RNA is filed under the name Caerostris darwini. The record is from RNAcentral. Lineage: Eukaryota; Metazoa; Arthropoda; Arachnida; Araneae; Araneidae.